RNAcentral lists this ribosomal RNA (402 nucleotides) under Triticum aestivum (bread wheat). RNAcentral's name for it is "partial small subunit ribosomal RNA". Lineage: Eukaryota; Viridiplantae; Streptophyta; Magnoliopsida; Poales; Poaceae. The record is from RNAcentral.
AUGUUUGGUUGUGCAUCAUGUCAUGUUUAUGUGUUGUGUGUUUACCGUGGUGUUUGCUUCUUUCCGGUUGUGCUUCUUCUCGAUAGUUCCUGUUUCGUUGCGAUCGUGAGGAUUCGUUCGACUACGCUUGGUUCGUCUUCGCCCGUUCAUCUUCUUCAUGGACUCGUUCUUCUUCCUAGCGGGAUUUCAGACAAGAUGACCGUUUCCCUGGAUCUCACUACUAUCAUUGUUAUGCUAGUUGAUUCGUUCUAUCGCUAUGCUGCGCUACCUAUCACUUGUUUAUCAAGCCUCCCAAAAUUGGCAUGUCAGCCUCUAACCUUCUCACCCUUCCUAGCAAACCAUUGUUUGGCUAUGUUACCGCUUUUGCUCAGCCCCUCUUAUAGCGUUGUUAGUUGUAGGUGA